AGCAGUCGCCGCGGUAAUACAGAGGGUGCGAGCGUUAAUCGGAUUUACUGGGCGUAAAGCGUGCGUAGGCGGCUUUUUAAGUCGGAUGUGAAAUCCCUGAGCUUAACUUAGGAAUUGCAUUCGAUACUGGGAAGCUAGAGUAUGGGAGAGGAUGGUAGAAUUCCAGGUGUAGCGGUGAAAUGCGUAGAGAUCUGGAGGAAUACCGAUGGCGAAGGCAACCAUCUGGCCUAAUACUGACGCUGAGGUACGAAAGCAUGGGGAGCAAACAGGAUUAGAUACCCGCGUAGUCCCUGUCUCUUAUAC
Molecule: ribosomal RNA, 303 nt
Filed under: uncultured bacterium
Lineage: Bacteria
Description: partial 16S ribosomal RNA
Rfam family: Bacterial small subunit ribosomal RNA
Source: RNAcentral